UCCAAAAAUAAUCAUCAUAUAUAUAUUUAUUAUAUAGUGAAACAAUAUAUGCUUAAUUUAUAAAGUGGUGUAAUUAUUUUUUACAAUUUUAUUUGUUAGUCGUAUAUAUUUUGUAUUUAUAUAAAUUUUUGCUGUAGUCUUUGAAGGACCUUUAUGAGACAGCGCACCCUUUAGUUCAAAGUUGUGGAAUAGCAUAGUUGUUAUGGUAAGUUUAGAAUAUUCUCAUGAAAUGGUUUCCAUCAAAACCUUUAUCACUCUAUCAUUACUAUUAAAGAAGAUAUGAUAAUAUUGAGUAACUAUUAAAGCUUUUAUUAUAUGUAACAAUGUCAGCAGUGCGUUUAGGUUUCUACGGAAAAAAAAAAAACAGGCUAGCCUUGUAUUAGCUUUGUGGCUUUUGUAAACCGCUGCAGGUUACAUCUGUGUUUAGCCUAUAGAGUCUAUAAAUUGCUUAACUCUUAAAUUUACUGCUAUUGUUAUUUACUGUUAUUUAUUAUUUAGUUUAAUUUUUUUGUUGGCUUCUUGUUUCGGGCACUAUUUCAUCCGUCAAGAUCGUCAAACUGCUUGACCACUUGAGACCUAUAAUGAGGCCUUUUCAAUAUUACCGUUGUGAAUAUUACUUUGUAACACAUACUGUAGUAUGAAACAUGCUUUAUGUACAACUUGUGGUGUAGUGGUUAAAGUUCUGGUCUGGAAACCUACAAGGCACGAUCCAUGAGCUAAUCGUCAUUGCAUGAUAAACUGAAUAAUUCAUUUUUUGUUCACUUGAAAAUUGGGUUUUCAGUGCCUUCAGUGCAGAGUCAUAAUAAAACAUGCAGUUUAAACAUAUGACUUCUUUUGAGGAGUUCAAGUCUUUAUUGCGGGGGUCAAACUUCCUUAUAAGUCACACUGUGGAUUGAGGCCUUGUUAACUACCAUUUAUUUGCAUUUGUUUUCAGGGUACAAUAUUCUGCCUCCCCCAUCAACAAACAAUGGGUCAAAUUAAGACCCCUGUCCAGUGUGUGGAAAAUCCUAAAGGAUCGGGUGGAGUGAUAAUAAAUGACCGGGAGACGUUCACCAUGAACAAACAACACUUGGUGACAGUUCUUCUCUCUAGAGUUGAAAAACUCUGUCAGACCAGUUCUGUUGUAACGGCAAGUGAAGACAAGAAAGAGAAAUGCCUCCCAAGACCUUAACAUCUCACCCUGUAUACUUCAAAUAAAGGCAUUUUAC
Long non-coding RNA from Onychostoma macrolepis, 1208 nucleotides. RefSeq lists it as uncharacterized. NCBI's taxonomy places the organism in Eukaryota, Metazoa, Chordata, Actinopteri, Cypriniformes, Cyprinidae. The transcript is spliced from 3 exons. The record is from RefSeq and is a predicted model, not a curated record.